UAUCAAAAGCUAUAUAUAUAUAUAUAUAUAUAUUUUUAAUCAAGCGUCUGGCUAAUAUUUUGUAGAAUAUUAAAAGAUAAAUACUACUUAUACAUUUAAUUUUUUAAUGCAGACCAUAUGCUCCAUUCAUCUAAAUGUUAUUUUACUUUUCACUCAUCUAAUGAAUGGGGUGUCUUUACUAGUCACACUUAGGACUUACAAUCUAGUUCGUUGUCUGCAAGUCAGCUUACAUUUAGCUCGAAAUAAAUUCGAAAUCGAUCGUUCGUUUAAUAAAUAAGUUAAAUCUGAGCUGAAUUUUUCAGUUUAAAAUUUAAUAAGUGAAACACGAACC
RNAcentral lists this long non-coding RNA (331 nucleotides) under Ananas comosus (pineapple). Its description in RNAcentral is "long non-coding RNA (ACOM_LNC025447)". Lineage: Eukaryota; Viridiplantae; Streptophyta; Magnoliopsida; Poales; Bromeliaceae. The record is from RNAcentral.